CCAGCCAAACUACCUCUGCUGGGGAAAAAAAGAAAAUAAGUGUGGGCAGAGAAAUACAUUCUUCUUCCAAAAUCAGCUUUAAACCAGAAGACAGCACAACUCCUUUGAUUUGCACCAUUCAAAGGAUGAAUUCAAAACAUGGCUUGACCCUGUGAUGCACUUGGCAGCUGAGCCUCCCUGCAUGGUCCCAGGCUCCGGAGGGCACUCAAGGAGGGCAGCAAGGCAGGAUGCAGGGGGGAAACGGAUGCAGAAUGAAAACCAGAAGGACUUCCAAGAGGAAUAGAAAUGACUGAGGCUAUGGAUGAAGGCGUAACUAGAUGUUAAUGAGAGAAAGUCUGACCUACAGGUGGACGCAGGAGAGCUCUGCUGUGAGAUGUCGCGGGCAUCACGCUGACAGCCCUCCCCGACCCCCGUCCCUCCACGUCACGCUGAACAAGCUGCAGGACAACUGGGGGCUGUUGCUGCAAUGACAGAGGGCACAGCAGUCCCCCUGCUUGCACCCAGAGCCCUGCUGCUUCCCAGUGCACUGCUGCCAUCAGCCAGGAAGGGGAAGACCUUGCCCUGACUGAAAAGAACUGAGAAGGACAAUUUCUCCAUGAGUGUUGCAGUGAGACAACCAAGGGAUUAAAAGGGAGAGUGAGGCUCAGGCCUAUCACCAUCCACAUGACAAUGCCUUUUAGCUUGGUAGAAACCCUGAAAUGAAGACGUCCAACUACAGCAACAAAAACUGCCCAGGAACAAUCAUCACAUUCAGCUAAGCUGCAUGAAACAUAUUGCAAGGGACACCAAACGCCAAAAU
Cygnus olor (mute swan) is the source of this 799-nucleotide long non-coding RNA. RefSeq lists it as uncharacterized. The record is from RefSeq and is a predicted model, not a curated record. The transcript has 6 exons. Lineage: Eukaryota; Metazoa; Chordata; Aves; Anseriformes; Anatidae.